GCAGUAUUUAAAGUGUGUGGAUGGAUGAAUGCUAAAAAAAAAAAAAAAAAAAUUAUGCAUAGGCUCUAUGAGAAAUGAGCUUCAUCUUUGAUUUUUUUAAUGAAGAAUUUUAUUACCUUUUAAACAGUGAACUGUAUGUAGAAAUAUCGGGGUUUUUCUUCUAUAUUAUUGAGUAGUCGUAAAAUGCAACUAAACUGUGUGUUUGGCCAGAAGCUAGGUGACGGGAUGAAUGGAAGCCGGUAAUAUCUGGGAUUUAUGAGACGAUUCUGGAUAGGAUUUUCUAGCAAAAUAUACAGUAACCUGUAUGUUAUCAUCUCAAGCUGCUGGAUUGGACAACUUGUAAAAUAAUUAUUUAUCCUCAUAUUUCCAAAACUUGGACUACUACCAUAGGAUAAAAUAUAUACUCUGUAUACCCAAAUUAUAUUUUUCAAAGAUAAGAUAUAAUAAUGCAUUGUUAUUCCUAAUAUAUCUUUUAGCUAUGGAUGGAAAACCCAAGCUUCACUGUCUAAACAGGACUUCUGCUUAGAACCUAAUAGACUAGGCUUUCGGGGAGAAGGGGGCAUAGAGAUAUCCUAGAAAAGAAAGACCCGUUUACAUAUUCCCCAGGGACCUCACAGUCUUUAUGUGAGAUCCUUGAAGCAAGCACGCUGGGGAAUUCCGCGUGUGUCGGGACUCCAUUUUUAUCUCCAGUGCCUAGCCACAUACUUCAGCAGCUGUGUUCAUUGUUUAUAACAGGUCCAUAUGACAACUGAGCUAGUAUUCAGUUAUGGAUGUGAUACUAUGAAGUGCUUUUGAUAAGAUGAAAAAUGCCUAAUAACAAAGUUAUUUUUCUUACAUGGUUGUGCUGUGUUUUGUCCUGACACCCAGUCCUAAAGAAGUCUGUAUACAAGGUGAUGGACAAAGAAGUUUCUCUUAGGAGCCAGAACCCGCAUUCUGGGUAGGCUACCCGCUGGGGGGCUGGCUGUAGUCCCAGCAUUUGAGUCUGAGCCAAGGUCUUAGGACCCAGCUUCCACUGAAUCUGAGUCUCAGAGGCUCACCUCCCCAGUUGGGGUAAUCCCCCGGGACCCCCAUGGUGGGCUUUUCAACCCGGAACUCUCUGAAGACCUUUGGAGAUGCUUUAGGAGAAACUUGUGAGGGCCCCCCACCCCCCACCCCCGCAAC
This 1161-nucleotide long non-coding RNA is filed under the name Bos indicus x Bos taurus (hybrid cattle). RNAcentral's name for it is "lncRNA (ENSBIXG00005022200.1)". The record is from RNAcentral. Lineage: Eukaryota; Metazoa; Chordata; Mammalia; Artiodactyla; Bovidae.